AAAGUAGAACGGUUUGCCGCUGCAUGGUUUCAUGGAGAGGAAAGUCCGGGCAACACAGAGCACCAUUCUUCUUAACGGGAAGUGGGCUGCGAAGUUCAAGUAGCGUAACAGAAAAUAACCGCCCCGAUUCGUCGAGGUAAGGGUGAAAAGGCAGGGUAAGAGCCUACCGUGGUUGUGGCGACACAUUCCAGCCGUACGUCUAAUGGGUUGAAAGAUCAUGUAUAUCAGCGCAGUAGGAUUGCUCGUAACCCCACCGAUAUGGUUGCCUUCCGUAAGACGCGAUUAAUCGCGUCUCUACUUUUUCA
This 305-nucleotide RNase P RNA is filed under the name Bacteroidales bacterium. Its description in RNAcentral is "RNase P RNA component class A". It matches the Rfam family "Bacterial RNase P class A", at positions 20 to 306 of the family's 367-position model. From Rfam's summary of the family: Ribonuclease P (RNase P) is a ubiquitous endoribonuclease, found in archaea, bacteria and eukarya as well as chloroplasts and mitochondria. Its best characterised activity is the generation of mature 5'-ends of tRNAs by cleaving the 5'-leader elements of precursor-tRNAs. Cellular RNase Ps are ribonucleoproteins. The record is from RNAcentral. Lineage: Bacteria; Pseudomonadati; Bacteroidota; Bacteroidia; Bacteroidales. RNAcentral also lists the same sequence under 1 other name.